GCCCACAGUUAGGAUUUAUACAGAGGAGUACUCCAGAUGGGAAACUUGAAGCAUACUGCUUAAGCCAUUUCAUUCUAGCCGGACCAGACGAUUGCCAUUGGGAUGUAGCGUAUGGGAUAAGAUGUAUUUCCCUUAAUCAUAAAGAUGAUGUCAAAACUCAUUUGGAAACGUCUUCAGAAUUCUCAUUAGCAACAUGAGGAAAAUUUUCAUUGACUUGACUGAAGGAACAGAUGAGCACGUCCAUAUAUAUUCUUGAAAGGGAAGACAAAAGCCUGCCCGCCAAUGAUGAAGAGAAAUAAAUGAUACAAUCUUGAGAAAGCUUUCGGAACGUCCCAGAGGGCUGCCUUAGAAAAAGCCAAAUCUCUAUUGAAUUCAAGAAAGAAAGCAAUUCCUGUCCAUGCAAAAGACGG
RNAcentral lists this long non-coding RNA (410 nucleotides) under Equus asinus (donkey). RNAcentral describes it as "lncRNA (ENSEASG00005036157.1)". Lineage: Eukaryota; Metazoa; Chordata; Mammalia; Perissodactyla; Equidae. The record is from RNAcentral.